CAGCCCUCCUCCCAGCCAGCGUCCAGUCCAUUCGGCACCGCUGACCCGAUGUCACCUUGGGUUAAAUGGCUAAAUCUUGAUUGGAAUGAGUGAACUUUGUGUCGCCUGUUAGCUAGCCAGUAUCUGGUUGGCUAACCUGUAUCUGGUCGUCGGUCAGUCCGUUCACCACAUCGUCCACCGGGAUGGACGCUCCGGCGCAUCCUCUCCUCGCCACCGCGGGGACGGACAACCUGGAGACGAGGCGGAGAGCGUUCCUAACCGCAAACAUGGUGUUUUCUUGGAGACGGAUAGAAAAGUUGUCUGACUGCGGGCUAGCUGUCUCUUUAGCAGAGAGAAGCUUGCAGACACGCUGCAAAGACGAUGUCCAGUCAAUGUCACCGUCUCGUCCUGGAGCCAACACCUCAACUCCUGCAGGUUGACCUGCAGAAAGUCUGUGAAGAUCAGUCUUCUGAAAUGAACACAGCCACUCAGCACCUGGUAAAGGGUGGGACCUGAACUGAUGUCCACCAGCAGCUCACCACUCACAUUACCUGGGAGAAAUGGAAAAGAGGAAGAGGAGGAGGAGGUGAGACUGACAAAAUCCACAGGUGAUUGCAGCUCAGGAAAAAUUUACUCACAUAACAGAAAUAUUUCGAUGACCGAAGUGACCUACUGCUCAUGUCAGCAGUAUCAACCUGCAUGACGGAAGUGUAAUGUAAUGUAUAAUUGAUGGCAGCAGUUAAUUCAGAAAAGUGCAAAUGUUUCAACUCAAAACUUCUUUAAUCACAAAGAAUGGAUUAUGAUUUUCAAUUAUUUUCCUUUCUGAGCAUCCUCUUAAAGGCAUGAAACACAUGAAAAUCUAAGUGUGUUUUAUGUACAAAUGAAGCCUUUUGGAACAUUUAGAGAUUAAUAAGAAAAUCACAUACUGACACAUUUUGUUAUUACAAACAAAUAAGUUUAUUGCAUUCUUUAGAUGCCCCUAUGGUAGAUAAACUAUGAUAAAGUGCCCUCUAGGGUGCCCUUCAGUGGAGAAAACGUGAUGCAGUGCUAUUCCAAUGGAGAAAAUGAGAUAAAGAGCCCUCUAUUGACAUUAAGACACAAUAUUUGCACUGACAAAAAAUAGAUCAUAGAUAUUUCUACAUAUUUGAAACAUUCUUGGAAAGAAGUUUGCACCUUAACCUUUUUCACAGCAGCCAUUUGAAACAGUCGGUUCAACACAGGUGUUACCAUAAUACUAAUUAAGGCUCUAUUCCAUUUAGUGUAUCAGAGCCUUUCCAGUGAGCCAGCAUGCAGAGUAGCAGCACUCUGUUUGACAUGAAUGUAAGAGAGCCUUAAUUGAUAUUAUUUUUAACUGUUUUUACCCUACUAUUUCAUGUCAGAAUGUCUGCUGUGAAAAAAAGUCUAUUGUCUCACCUAAAGUAAAAGCUCUGUUCGGACAGAUGCUUUCUGUUUAGAGUUGUCAAAGUCGGCCCUUUGUGGAGUGGAGUUGUACUGCAGGUAGGCCACAGGGUUAAAGCCCUGGUAGCAGGCGGACAUCAUUGUCACUCUGUCUUCUCACCCUUCAUCACUUUUGGCCUGUGUAUCCCAAACCUCAGCCCACCUUCAGUGUGCACACUUCUAAAUAAACCCUGACCCCUCUCAGACUUCAGCUGAUCCACACACCUGCUUGGCUCAUUUAAUCCCAUGAUGUGAUACAGGAUUCUGCAGCAAGUACCUACUGUACUUAAUGCUCACUCCUUGAGAUGUGACACCAUAUAGGCCUGUGGAUGUAAUCUGGUCAAAACAAAUAAUUUUAACCAUGCCCCCACUUAUAUAUCAGUCAUGAAAGGAACGUUGACAUACAUAUAAUGUUAAAAAUGUAUUUAUUCCAUAGUCGCUGAGUCACUACAAUGACUGGAACUGUGUUUUAACUGUGUUUUAACACGCAAUUAAUCAUCCAGUUUCACACCAUAUUUCCUCUCAGCGCUGACUGUUUUUCUCGUCAAGAGCUGUGCGACAAAAAAAAAAAAAAAAAAAGAAAAACCGCACAGGAGCGUCACCUCCUGGAUAAUAAUGACAUGAUAAUAAAGAGAACUUCAAAGUUGAAUGCUAUAAACUUCCUCUCGUGCCGCCAGAUUUCAAUAACUAGGCUACUAAAUGUACAAAUAUUUUAAUUUUAAAUUAUGCAAACUGCCAGCACUGAGUUUAAUAAAGAUGUAGUAAUGAUGUAGUUUUUAAUCCUAUAACAGAAAUGUCCUACUACCAGGUGUGCAUGCUUUUUUUCCUACACCUAGUUUUUUAUUUUGAAAUGACACCAAUUCAUGUAAUUAAAUUACAGUUUAAGGAUUUGAAUUGAAGCUUUAAAGCAGGUUAAAGCAGAUAAUGUUUAUCAGCAGACAUAUUCAAAGCAGCUAAUAAAAUGUGAACUUUUUCUA
Molecule: long non-coding RNA, 2393 nt
Organism: Dicentrarchus labrax (European seabass)
Lineage: Eukaryota; Metazoa; Chordata; Actinopteri; Moronidae
Exons: 3
Source: RefSeq, a predicted model, not a curated record